RNAcentral lists this ribosomal RNA (294 nucleotides) under uncultured Treponema sp. RNAcentral's name for it is "partial 16S ribosomal RNA". It matches the Rfam family "Bacterial small subunit ribosomal RNA", at positions 355 to 640 of the family's 1533-position model. Lineage: Bacteria; Pseudomonadati; Spirochaetota; Spirochaetia; Treponematales; Treponemataceae. The record is from RNAcentral.
CUAAGAAUAUUCCGCAAUGGACGAAAGUCUGACGGAGCGACGCCGCGUGGAUGAUGAAGGCCGGAAGGUUGUAAAAUCCUUUUAAGUAUGAGGAAUAAGCAGUGUGAGAGAAACGCAUUGUGGUGACUGUAGUACUUGAAUAAGCAACGGCUAAUUACGUGCCAGCAGCCGCGGUAACACGUAAGUUGCGAGCGUUGUUCGGAAUUAUUGGGCGUAAAGGGCAUGUAGGCGGUUUUGCAAGCUUGGUGUGAAAUGCCGGAGCUUAACUCCGGAAUUGCGUUGAGAACUGCAUAG